Molecule: ribosomal RNA, 255 nt
Filed under: uncultured bacterium
Lineage: Bacteria
Description: partial 16S ribosomal RNA
Rfam family: Bacterial small subunit ribosomal RNA
Source: RNAcentral
UACGGGGGGAGCAAGCGUUGUUCGGAUUUACUGGGCGUAAAGGGCGCGUAGGCGGCCACCGCAAGUCGACUGUGAAAUCUCCGGGCUUAACCUGGGAACUGCAUCCGAUACUGGAUGACUUGAAUCCGGGGAGAGGGAUGCAGAAUUCCAGGUGUAGCGGUGAAAUGCGUAGAUAUCUGGAGGAAUACCGGUGGCGAAGGCGGCAUCCUGGACCGGCAUUGACGCUGAGGAGCGAAAGCUAGGGGAGCAAACGGG